This 508-nucleotide ribosomal RNA is filed under the name uncultured bacterium. Its description in RNAcentral is "bacterial SSU rRNA". It matches the Rfam family "Bacterial small subunit ribosomal RNA", at positions 791 to 1297 of the family's 1533-position model. The record is from RNAcentral.
UAGUCCACGCCGUAAACGAUGAGAACUAAUCUUUGGGGGUAUUGACCCCUUCAGAGAUACAGCUAACGCAGUAAGUUCUCCGCCUGGGGAGUACGGUCGCAAGACUAAAACUCAAAGGAAUUGACGGGGGCCCGCACAAGCGGUGGAUCAUGUGGUUUAAUUCGAAGCAACGCGCAAAACCUUACCUGGGCUUAAAAUCCUGAGAAUCCUUAAGAGAUUAGGGAGUGCCCUUCGGGGAAUUCAGUGAUAGGCGCUGCAUGGCUGUCGUCAGCUCGUGUUGUGAAAUGUUGGGUUAAGUCUCGCAACGAGCGCAACCCCUAUCUUUAGUUGCCAGCAUUAAGUUGGGCACUCUAGAGAGACUGCCUGGGCUAACCAGGAGGAAGGUGGGGAUGACGUCAAGUCCUCAUGGCCCUUAUGUCCAGGGCUACACACGUGAUACAAUGGUCAGUACAGAGGGAAGCAAACCCGCGAGGGGGAGCCAAUCUCAAAAAGCUGAUCUCAGUCCGGA